Long non-coding RNA from Dromaius novaehollandiae (emu), 367 nucleotides. RefSeq lists it as uncharacterized. The transcript has 4 exons. The record is from RefSeq and is a predicted model, not a curated record. Lineage: Eukaryota; Metazoa; Chordata; Aves; Casuariiformes; Dromaiidae.
AAAGGACUGAGAUUUAUCACAGGAGUGUUGCUUUUUGAGAAGAAUUAGCCCUAUGUGCCAACUGAGGCACAUCAGCUGCCUCCCGUUUUAACAUGCAGCCUGGAAUCAAGUAACUUUCAAGCUGCAGCAAGUUCUACCUCUCAGUGCCUCUUCAAGGCAGGCUGCUGUGUUUGUGCUCACUACUAAAAAUGAGCUAUGUCCCUGUUUGCACUGCUGACCCUGACAAGACAAUGCAGCAGGUAGAAAGCAGAAUCUUGGAUAGAAAAGGAAAUGGCAGAAUCAAGAACUACCUACAUUGGUAAGGAGAAGGUAAAGGUGUCUUUCAGAAGAGGAGGGUUUUAUGCCAUUUAGAGAGCUCCUACCCAGG